Molecule: ribosomal RNA, 497 nt
Filed under: uncultured bacterium
Lineage: Bacteria
Description: partial 16S ribosomal RNA
Rfam family: Bacterial small subunit ribosomal RNA
Source: RNAcentral
GAUGAACGCUGGCGGCGUGCCUAAUACAUGCAAGUCGAACGGACGGACGAUACUUUUGCUUCUCUGAUGUUAGCAGCGGGCGGGUGAGUCACACGUGGAUAACCUACCUAUUCGACUGGGAUAACUUCGAGAGACCGGAGCUCAUACCGGAUAAUAUUUUGAGCCGCAUGGUUCAAAAGUGAAAGACGUUCUUGCUGUCAUUUCUGGCUAGCUCCGCGCUGCAUUAGCUAGUUGGUAGGGUAACGGCUUACCAAGGCGACGAUGCAUAGCCGACCUGAGAGGGUGAACGGGCACAGUGGGAGUGAGAGACGGUCCAGACUCCUAGGGGAGGCAGCAGUAGCGAAGCGUGCGCGAUGGGCGAAAGCCUGACCGAGCAGCGCCGGGCGGAUGAUGAAGAGCUUCGGGUCGGAAGACGGUGUUAGGAUGGAAAAACAUAUGUGUAAGUAACGGAGCACAUUUUGACGGUACCUAAUCAAAAAGCAACGGCUAACUACGUG